RNAcentral lists this ribosomal RNA (253 nucleotides) under uncultured bacterium. Its description in RNAcentral is "partial 16S ribosomal RNA". It matches the Rfam family "Bacterial small subunit ribosomal RNA", at positions 524 to 776 of the family's 1533-position model. The record is from RNAcentral.
UACGAAGGGGGCUAGCGUUGCUCGGAAUCACUGGGCGUAAAGCGCACGUAGGCGGAUCUUUAAGUCAGGGGUGAAAUCCUGGAGCUCAACCUCGGAACUGCCUUUGAUACUGCAAAUCUCGAGUCCGGAAGAGGUGAGUGGAAUUCCUAGUGUAGAGGUGAAAUUCGUAGAUAUUAGGAAGAACACCAGUGGCGAAGGCGGCUCACUGGUCCGGUACUGACGCUGAGGUGCGAAAGCGUGGGGAGCAAACAGG